GGAAAUAGUACCCAACAUCACCAUUGUCAAGCUGCUUCAGUGAAACCAAGUGGGACCUACCAACAACACCAGUAUACUGAAUGGGUCCUGUCUGUUUCCACCUGAAUGUUUGGCCUGUUGGGAAGGUGAGAGGCAAGUAAAGUUCUGAUCUUGAUAAGUUUAGGGGUACCCAUUUGGGAUCUUCUUCUGGGAUUGGAUUUGUGAGAAUAUUUCUUGGUUUUUUGGAAGAAAGGGUUCUCAAAGAUGUGGUUUUGGAAGGGAGAGAUUGUGGAGAUGGUGGAGUUGAUGGGGUUGAAGCCAUGAUUGUUGGUUUCUUCAUGAUCGACAGAGUUCUUACUGAU
This 341-nucleotide unclassified non-coding RNA is filed under the name Hevea brasiliensis (rubber tree). The record is from RNAcentral. Lineage: Eukaryota; Viridiplantae; Streptophyta; Magnoliopsida; Malpighiales; Euphorbiaceae.